RNAcentral lists this long non-coding RNA (1992 nucleotides) under Sus scrofa (pig). RNAcentral's name for it is "lncRNA (ENSSSCG00050036966.1)". The record is from RNAcentral. Lineage: Eukaryota; Metazoa; Chordata; Mammalia; Artiodactyla; Suidae.
UAUUAAUUUAUUACUACUCAUUAUUCAUAAUAAUAAGUGAAAACAUUUCUUUCCAGUGUCCCUGGCAGGGAGUAAGGGAGCGUGUUUAGAUCGUUCUCCUUUUCUUUUUUCCCAGAAAUGAUAUAAUGAGCUUCAACCUAGAAGAGUCCUUUCCUAAGCAUGGAAGUUACUUCCCAGGAGGGACUUGGGUGCUGAAGUGCUUGGAUCUGCCUCAUUAAUCUAUGUGGUAGAGAAGUUUCUCAUUUUCCUGACUUUGCUUGGAGCCCAGGCCCAGAUACAAACUGGAGGAUAAAAGGAGGCUACUUAAAAUAACACCAGCUAUUUUUAUAAGAGUGAUAAAAUAUCUUGAGCAAGAGAAGUGGCUCUUAAAACCAGCCGCUAUGGUCGCUCCUCUUGAUGAAGAAGGUUUAUUCUCAUGACACAUUUCAUAGCUUUAUAAUCUGGGCUAUUAGAAAACAGAAAGCCCAAGGAGCAUUUAUGACAUCUUAUAAGGCUGAGGUUAUUUUAAAACCUCAUGAAACCAUGGACAAAUAUUCUUCAAAAUCUGAAAGUAUGAUUCUGGGAGUCUGGGUGUGGAGGAAGCAGGAGCUGUGGUGCAGCAGAAGAGCGUGGAACAAAGAUUUAAGACGUCUGGGUCUGAUGGUUUUGCCUUCCAGGAGCUCAGUCUCCAUAUCUGUAAAAUGGAGAGUAUAUUCUCAUCUUCACUGGGUUGCUGAGAGGAACAGGUACGAAAUGCAUGUGAAGAUGCUUUAAAUGUAUACAUUCCUAGAAACAACACAAAUAUUUUUGCUUUAGUUAAUUAGACACUGAGAUCAAAGUUGGAUGUUUUUAGGCCCCAUGGUUUUGGAUGGUCUUUUGGAAUCACAGGUUGAUUCUGCCUCCUUUCCUGAUUUUCAAUGUUCUUUUUUAAAUAACUGAUAGUUCACAAAAUAUAUUGCCUUCAUAUUUUGAUAAUCUCACAUUAAUGAAUCAGAAGUUAACAUGCUGUUUUCAUUAUUUUAGGAAAAGGAUUUUCCCCAUGGAAAAUCUUAAUCAGAAUAAUAUCCCAUUGUGGCAGGGAAUUUUAAAUCUUUCUGUUGGAAAUUGAUUCUUUUGUGCUUUUAAAGGUUCUUCAAGAUUCUGCUAGUAAAAUGCCCUGGGAGGGGAAAACAUGUAAAUUCUUGCCUAUACCUUUUAUGCAUCAGAAAGAGAAGUUUUUCUUUCUGUCUUUCUCUCUUUCUGUCUCUCUCUCUCUCUUUUUUUUUUUUUUUUUUUUUUUUGGCCACAUCUGGGGUGUGCGAAAGUUCCAGGGCCAGUGACAGAACCUGGGCCACAGCAGCACCCGGAGCCACAGCAGUGACAACACCAGAUCCCCAACCUGCUGAGCCACCAGGGAACUCCUGGGGAUUUUGCUUUCUGACUAAACUGGUAGCUUAGAAUGAGGCUAUGAGGAUGGUGGAAAUCACCACCCUUGUACUAGGUGUUGUGUGAAGCAUUGCGUGUAACUUGUACUCUCUCAUUAUUAAAUACUGGCAUGCUGGCCUUGUUCACUGCCUUGCAUGCACGUGGAAAUGGAGGCACAGAACAGUUCAGUUAACUGGUUUACACGAAUGCAAGAUUACAAGACUGGUCAGCCCAGAAGCUGGGAUGCAGAGUGGACAUUAGGGAGAGGAGGGCUUUCCACCAAGAAGAAAGGCACCGGCCAAACCUCCAGUGCAGAUCUGCCUGGGAGAGUGCUGUCCUUCACAUCUGAUGCAGAAGAGACCCCGUGGACAGGGACACACAUGCAUUUACUUGGGAGUGUGUCAUGGGGUGCUAGGUGGUCUUGGUACCUCCCCCAUGAUGGUGGCAUUUGCUGCUUCAUUCAAGAGAUGGGAUAAAAUAGGUUUUUACUCCUAACUCCCAUCUCUACUCAAUACCUACAGUGAGAACAUGGGAUUUUUGUUCUGAGAUGAGUCUUCUCAUCUGUGAAACAGAAAUAAAUAGUAGCUGCCUACUUAGGAGGAUUAAAUC